CCCCACCCACCCACCUCUUCGUCUCUCUCAACUCAGAGACAUGAACCCUAGCCGCCGUCUCAAAAUUCCCAAAUCCCACCGGCGGCGGCGUGACCCAAUCCUCACCAAACUCACAGCCUAUCUUGCCGAAUCUUAAAUUUGAGAGCCGGAGGCCAGACCUUGCUUCCACCAAAUCAGAUCCAAACACUCACCACUCCCUUUCCCUCCCAAAACCUGAAGUCAAUCCCUUCAAGCCCUCUUUAAAACUCACAGAGAUCGAGUCUGGAUGGACAUGCAUGGGUUGCCAAAAUGAGUUGAGCCGGAAAAAGGUGCCCCUUGGUUGUCCUCAAAGGGGAACACUCAUGUGGUACCUCUUUCCGGGUUUAAGUCAAAGAAGACGGGUAUAGCUGGAUAGCCAUGGCAGUAGGUACAUGGCUUUGAACCUUAUUUAAUGUAAAGCUGAAUUGGAAGAAAUGAAAUAAAACAAGAUUUAAAGUGUAGAAGCAGAUUUGCUUGUGAUUCAACAGCAUUUCCUCAUUUUUUUUUGUGUCUCUCAUAAUGUGAUUCAUAGUAUAUUGGUUGAUUUGGAAUUUGAAACAGUUAUCUUUCAUGUUUGUAUUUGAUUUGGAAUCUCUGAGAUGCUGUAGUAGAAGAUUUGGGUUGGAUUACUGUAUCUUAAAUGUGUUUUCCUUUUGGCUAUAGCAAUGGUCAUGCUUGGUGAAGAUUGUAAUCUAGAUUGGUUGCAAUGGUUAGUAUAGGGUAGGGACAGAUCGAUAACAUGCCGUAUGCUGUUUGAAGGACAUCAUGAGAAGUUAUUUUGCUGUGAAUAUUCUGUUUAUAAACCCUCGCUGAAAAUGAUUUUAAUAGUUUAUUAAUGUUGUUUAAAUUUGACAUGAGUCACCUUAGGAUUC
Nicotiana attenuata is the source of this 890-nucleotide long non-coding RNA. RefSeq lists it as uncharacterized. The record is from RefSeq and is a predicted model, not a curated record. NCBI's taxonomy places the organism in Eukaryota, Viridiplantae, Streptophyta, Magnoliopsida, Solanales, Solanaceae. The transcript is spliced from 2 exons.